UUUUUAUUUUUCAAAAAUACAGAUGCAUCUUCAGAAUACUUUCUUUGUAACAAUUGAAUAGUUUUCUAGUAGAAGGAUUUACCAAAAUUUAGUUAACAAUUUCCUAGUGAUUGAAAAAGGGAUAUUUCAAAUGUAAGAAAUUUCGUUUUGAUAUUUUAAAUUUUAAUUUAAUUCCCUCUUAUUCUUGGUGCAUUAUAGUUGUGGUAAUGUUCGUAUUUGUUGUUACAUAGUCGUUCAAGCACAAUAUAGCAACAGAAUUUGGCCAAUAUAAUUCCCCUGUAUUUCCUUUCUCUCCUCUCCUCCCUCCCCCUGGUGGGUCUUUUUCCUCUACUCUACUGAUCUCCCUUUGAUUUUUCAUGAGACACCCGCCUUUCUUUUCCUUGAAAAGAAAAUUCUAAAAAGUUGAUAUCACAUGAACUUGGAAGCAACUGGACCUGCCACCGUGACUCAGAACAACCUUUGAUAGAGACAUCCGUGCUGGGCAAAGGGGCCACGUGGAGUUCAUGGCAAUUCCUCCCUGGAAAGGCACAACACCGCCCCUGGAGUGCAGAAUUAAAUGCCACCGCAGCGGGAAAACUUAAAGCGUUUUCUGUCAUGCUCUUGGGUCUCUGGAGAGAGAGGCUCUUCCCCCACUUCUGAAAACGAAAGUGGCACUGGGGACCCUUACCAAGCCUUCUUGCUUCUUCGAAUCCUCCUGCCCUUAUUUUCAUUUUAUUUUACUUUUAAAAGAUGGACACAAUAUCUUUAUUGAGUUUUAUGUGCUGCUGAGGCUCCACCCAGUGCGAGGCAAUGGCUCUACCCCUGCGCUAUAAUCCCAGCCCCUGCCCUAACUUUUCCCUCUCUUUCCUGCUCCCUGAGCUACCUGGGUCCUGAGGCUCCCACCACUGGAGCAAGGUGCAGAACCCUCCGCAGGGACGCAGACCAGUGGGGCGGAACCCGCAGGGGAAGCCUGGGGACUGAAGGCAAGAGCAGAGCCAGGCAUGAGCAUGGGGUAGACCCCACCUGCCACAGGUCCCAGCUCCGGAGCCCUGGAGACCUGCCUCCCGGUGCCAGGCCUUUAAAGCCCAAGGCCCCUCCACCCUGGUGCCCAGUGCCCUACUUCCCCUCUGCUGCCCUCGCCUGGGUCCCAGUUCCUGGGAGCACGCGGGCCAGACACUCCCCAGCGACUCUGGAGGCCUAGCCACUGGCAUCUGCCCUCCCAGCCUCACUCCCUGCGCCACCCUGGCUGAGACCCAGAGAAGGUGAACCCAAAUCAAAGGAUAAAGUUGGGGCUUCCAGUUUCAUCCUCUUUCCCACCUUUGGACUCUGAAAAGACCAAAGAAUUUCGGUCACCCAGUAAACUCCCAUCUAAAAUCAACGUGGUCCAAGUCAGCUAGACCGUCAUCAAGGAGAGUUCUGGGUAGAUUCUGUGCCCUGGAACCUAAACCUUCAGGAAAAACUCUGAAAGCAGAAGUAAAAAGCAACUUCUCCUUUAUGAAAAGUUCUGACAGCCAAACAGGAAAUGCGCAGCUCUGCUGCCAUUCUUGAGGCAGAAAGAAUCAUUUUUCCCCCUUUUUCUUUAGAGGUAGUGAGGAUUGAAUCCAGGCACACUCCACCAUGGAGCUAAAUCCUCUGCUCCUCUAAAAAUUUUAAAUUUUGGACAGCAUAAAUGUCCCUAAAUCGCCUAGGCCGGCCUCGAACUUGCAAUGCUUCUGCUUCACCUCCAAGAAGCUGGGAUCACAGGCAUGUGCAGUAGCCCCUGGCUAUGAUUAACCUCUUAAGGUUUCCUUUGGUCACUUUUAUUGUUAUCUGGAGAUCCAAUCAUUUAAACAUCCAUUCAACUACUAGGUAAGCACCAUUUAAAUAACUUCAAAUACACAUUUCAGGCCAGUGGGGGGAUGAGUGAAAUGAUCACCUGACUCUAAGACCACUCUGGCUUCUUGAUGAGUGGCCCCUGGCCUGAGAUCUCUUAUUCUGCCAUCCAGAGGUUCAGACACAGGGCCCCAUCUCAUGGCCUGGGCCUCAGGCCUGUGGCAUCAAAGAGGGGGAAAGGAACUACUGAGUUAGGAAAGCCCUGGUGAGGGAUCAGCUUGUCUAAGUGCAGGGCACUUGCAUAAUCUCUUCCUUGACCUUCAUUCCACCAGAGAGCACUAACUGACAGAAGUGGAAAUUGAUGCAGGAAAACAUUUAAAAAAGGAGUGCAACACUCAUCAGUCAAAAUGUCAUGAUUUCUAUUUCUGAAAUUACAAUCUACAACUCACACUCUUUUAGCCAACUCUGGAGCUGAUUCCAUCUCCAUUUGGGAUCUGGUUUGAGUUUGGAGGCCAGGAACUUCCUCCUGACUCACUUGCUCUACUUGAUUUAUCUCCCUUCUGUUAUUGUUAUUAUUUUAAUUAGAAUAUUAUAAUUCUCUAUAUAAGUGGGAUUCAGUGUGGUCCAUUUAUACAUGGACAUAACACAAUUUCAUACCUUAUAGCCUUCCCUUGUCCCAUUCUCUUGAUUCUCCUUUCUCUAUUGUCAACUUUAGUCUUUAAGGGACAAAUAUCCUGUAGGCUUUCUAUCUUCAAUAUAUUUUUAACAUACUUAGCAGAGAAAUUCUAAAGUUUUCUUCUUAAGUUUCUGUCCUUGGUUAUUCAAACACUAAUCUAGACCCAGCUCUGAGAAGGUUUUGUAGCUGAAAUUAUAAAGCAGUUGCCCUCCAACAGAAAAACCUUUCCAGGUUACCUGAGAGGGCCCAGGGCCAUCAGAUGAGCCUUUAAAAUCAGAGGACUUUCUCAGGCUGGAGGCAAGAAGGAGGAAGCAGAAGGAGAAGUUUGACUGUAAGCAAGAGAAGGAUUAGAUGUGCUGUUGCUGGAUCUGAGGUGUGUGGACCAGAGAGAGGCCUCUUAAAGUGAAGGAGUGCCCUGCUCACAGCCAGCAAGGAAGUGGAUUCUGCCAACAAUCGGAAUGCCCUUGGAAGCACAGCUUUUUCAAAGCUUCCGCAUCACAGUUUAGCUCUUCAGCAUCUUGAUUUUGACCUUCUGAAAUCCAAAGUGGAGACAUCAGUUGAGCCAACUCAGAUUUCUGACCUAAUGAAUUGUAAGAUAAUAAAUGUGUUGAAAAGCAGCUAGGUUUGGGAUAAUUUGUCAUGACUGCAAUAAAAAAUGAAUACCAACUCCUUCCCAUUUAAAUGAGAAUUUGACUGGAUAUAAAGUUCUUUUCUUCAAUGCUUUAGAAAUAAUAUUCCUUUGUCCCCAUGUGACCAGGGUGGCUGUCCAGGAAUCUGUUGCUGUGCUUGCUUCUUACUUGUUUCUCAGGGCCAUCCGGGAAGGGAGCCAGAAGGCUAUGCUGGUUUGUUGCCUCUGCUGAGUUCUACAGUCUACUUCGUUGCCAAUCAUGGUCUCAUGGAUAUGGGGAGGUUUAAUUUGUUUCUCUUCUUUUCAUGGUUGCAGUCAUAGAUACGACAAAUUUAAUGUUUCACUUUUAUUCAGCUACUACUAAUCUUGCCUUCACCUCCCUUUUAUAAAAACCAAAUUCAUUGAUCUAACACUCCUCCUUAUCUUUGGAAGUAUGUUAGAAAUAUGUAGGCAUUUUUCAAUUUAUGAGGCAUAUUCCCAGGCUACAGAAGUAAAAAGAGAUGCAUGGUAUUACUUCUGCAUGAGUCAUCGUACCAACCUGUCAAUUCUGAAAAUCAUAUUUCCAUGCAGCACCAUCUUCAGGUUUGCAUGGGGAAAAAUAAUUCUUUUUUUUCAGUAAAAACAAUUUAGCUUUUAGACAAAGUGAAUUCUCGAACUACAUUAAGUACACUUUGACCUUCAGGAUUUUAUAGAUUUCAAAAAAAACAUUUACUGUAAUUAUGAUAGUUAUUUUAAUAAAACAUACACUCCUUUUCAGUCACUGGAAGCACAUGUUAAUCAUAGCCUUUAACACUAGUCAUACUUUCAGCUUCAUAAUCAGAUAUUAUGAGAUAUUUUAUGGCUGAGUUUUUUUUCAAAAUUUUUAUUAUUAUAAUGUGUUAUACAUAGUACACUUAUAGAGCAUAAUUUUUUUGUCUCUGUACACACCAUUUGGACUUCAUACAUGUACUUAGCAUACUGAUGUCCAUCUCAUUCCACCACCUUUCCUAUCCCAUACCCUUUCCUUCCCCUCCCUUCCCUUUGCCCUAUUUAAAGUUCCUCCAUUCCUCCCUUUCUUUCCCCACCCAUCACCAUUGUGGAUCAGCAUCCACGUAUCAGAGAAAACAUUCAGC
This 4207-nucleotide long non-coding RNA is filed under the name Marmota monax (woodchuck). The record is from RNAcentral. Lineage: Eukaryota; Metazoa; Chordata; Mammalia; Rodentia; Sciuridae.